CCCUGGGGGCGUGCCUAAUACAUGCAAGUCGAGCGGACAGAUGGGAGCUUGCUCCCUGAUGUUAGCGGCGGACGGGUGAGUAACACGUGGGUAACCUGCCUGUAAGACUGGGAUAACUCCGGGAAACCGGGGCUAAUACCGGAUGGUUGUCUGAACCGCAUGGUUCAGACAUAAAAGGUGGCUUCGGCUACCACUUACAGAUGGACCCGCGGCGCAUUAGCUAGUUGGUGAGGUAACGGCUCACCAAGGCGACGAUGCGUAGCCGACCUGAGAGGGUGAUCGGCCACACUGGGACUGAGACACGGCCCAGACUCCUACGGGAGGCAGCAGUAGGGAAUCUUCCGCAAUGGACGAAAGUCUGACGGAGCAACGCCGCGUGAGUGAUGAAGGUUUUCGGAUCGUAAAGCUCUGUUGUUAGGGAAGAACAAGUGCCGUUCAAAUAGGGCGGCACCUUGACGGUACCUAACCAGAAAGCCACGGCUAACUACGUGCCAGCAGCCGCGGUAAUACGUAGGUGGCAAGCGUUGUCCGGAAUUAUUGGGCGUAAAGGGCUCGCAGGCGGUUUCUUAAGUCUGAUGUGAAAGCCCCCGGCUCAACCGGGGAGGGUCAUUGGAAACUGGGGAACUUGAGUGCAGAAGAGGAGAGUGGAAUUCCACGUGUAGCGGUGAAAUGCGUAGAGAUGUGGAGGAACACCAGUGGCGAAGGCGACUCUCUGGUCUGUAACUGACGCUGAGGAGCGAAAGCGUGGGGAGCGAACAGGAUUAGAUACCCUGGUAGUCCACGCCGUAAACGAUGAGUGC
Molecule: ribosomal RNA, 800 nt
Filed under: Bacillus velezensis
Lineage: Bacteria; Bacillati; Bacillota; Bacilli; Caryophanales; Bacillaceae
Description: bacterial SSU rRNA
Rfam family: Bacterial small subunit ribosomal RNA
Source: RNAcentral